CAGAUAGAUACAUUUUUGAAGGAAGAGGCGAACUGAAGACUUUGGGGAAUUAGCAAAGAAGAGGAUCAGAUCAUCUCGUGAAUAGUCCCAGCACCCUUGAAGACCCCUGUGGCCAACCGCUGCUUUUAUUUUCAGAGUUGAGUGAAGAACCGAUGAAAUGGUAUCUGCUGUGGACCUAUUGUGACAAUAGACCAUUUGGAGUGGAUCCAAGUGACUCCUCAGCCAGGAGUUUCAUACCAGUCUCACAGUGGACAGUGCAACUGGACAAUAGUCAUUGAAAGAUUGCUACAUCAAGCUACCAGAGAAUGCAAUAUCCUGCCUCACGGCAAUAUACUUGGGAAGUCCCACAUCACCAGGUUCAGGAACAGCCUCUUUCCUAAACGCCUUCAGAUUCUUGAACUGAUCUUCACAAACCUAAUCCUACCUCAACAAUGGAACACCACAGUUCACCUUCAGCACCAGCAUGGACUUCUUUCUAAUUAUGUCUUUGCAAGUUUUGCACAUUCUUCACUGUUUUGGAUAAGUUAUAUAUAAUUUAUAUUUAGUGUGUUGUCUGAAUCUACAAGCCUGUGAUGCUGUCGCAAGCAGGUUUUUUAAUUGUACCUGUACCUCAUCAUACUUAUCUAUAUCAUAAUAAACUUCAUCUGGUGAUACUUUACUCAAAAG
Molecule: long non-coding RNA, 666 nt
Organism: Hypanus sabinus (Atlantic stingray)
Lineage: Eukaryota; Metazoa; Chordata; Chondrichthyes; Myliobatiformes; Dasyatidae
Exons: 3
Source: RefSeq, a predicted model, not a curated record